This 253-nucleotide ribosomal RNA is filed under the name uncultured prokaryote. RNAcentral describes it as "partial 16S ribosomal RNA". It matches the Rfam family "Bacterial small subunit ribosomal RNA", at positions 523 to 775 of the family's 1533-position model. The record is from RNAcentral.
AUACAGAGGUGGCAAGCGUUGUUCGGAAUUACUGGGCGUAAAGGGCGCGUAGGCGGUUCGGUAAGUCCCGUGUGAAAUCCCUCGGCUCAACUGAGGAACUGCACGGGAGACUGCCGGGCUUGAGUUCGGGAGAGGGAAGCGGAAUUCCGGGUGUAGCGGUGAAAUGCGUAGAUAUCCGGAGGAACACCAGUGGCGAAGGCGGCUUCCUGGACCGACACUGACGCUGAGGCGCGAAAGCUAGGGGAGCAAACGG